CCAUAAAAUAUAUACAAACAUAACCUAUUGGGCUGCAGCAUAUAUGCACAGUCACACAAUGUAUAAUGGAAACGAUAGCAUGAGAUAUAUGAGAAGAAUAAUGACUCGUCUGGGUAACUAGUUUUGUUAUACCUAAUUCAUAACCACAUAUGGCCAUAGCAAACCCUUAAAUACCAAAAGGAAAGUAAACUCACAAAUGCAAUUAUAGAAGAUUCCAAGCAGUCUCUGCAUCCCAAUGUCAUAAAAAUUUGAGGGUGUUCAAUGCCCAUUGAUUCUUAACUCACUAAAGCUUUGAUAAAUCUCAUUGAAAUCUGAGCAUCCGAAAUCUUCUUAGACCCAAGUUCACAUUCUCUAGCUCUCUUGGACUCGUGAACCGUCAUCUUCAAAUAUUCGACCCAUCUCCUCAACCACUCCUUCACAAUCACGACUGCUUCGUCGCCGAUACCGAGAUCGGAUUCCGGAUCUACAACUACGACAUCUUACCUGAGAUCUUCUACCACGACUUCGAUCCACGCGGCGUCGCCGUUGACAUCAGAAGGUCAUCGUUUAACACAUAGAACCGAGCAGCGACGGCGUUUGAACCCUUCUCCGAUGAGGAGAGAGAGCAUAUGUAGGGGCGAGAGAGAGAGAGAGAGACAGAGAAGAGAGAGGAGAAUAGAUCUGGAAGAGAGAGAUACUGGAUAUGAAAGUGAGUAGGCAUGAGGGUAAUCUGGUCAGUACAAAUAGUGAAAAAGCUGAAAAUUUGAUUUUGUUUGUGGGGGAAAAAAAACUCUAGAAUUAAGGCUAGUGGGAUUUUUCCAUUCUUUUACUCCACGUGAUUUUAGUUAACUUUACCAUCAGAGAAGGAAACACCAAACCUUCCAGCUGCGGGCUAUAAGAGAAGUAAAGGAAGCUGAUAGAGUGGCCAUAUACAUGUUGAUUGUCAACCCUGCGGGAUUAACCCUCAUGUGGAUCGACGACUGUUAGACUCCACUGGAGAAGUUCAAGUCCGUGUCUCUUGUGCCCUGGAUCGACCCUUCAUUUUCAGAAGGUACUUAAGCUUGCUCGACCCCUGGUAUUGUGAAGAAUGUCAUCUUCUUUUAUGAGAAUUUGGUUGGCAUGUGCAUUACCUGCAAAUUAGUGUUUCAUCUUGAUGGAAUCUGUAAGCUGAAGAAGGUUUCUGGUCCCAAGUUGAAUGAUCUGCAAAAAGAGAAUCGGGUUGAGGCCUUGGUAAAUCUUGCAAACCCAAAUUACAACCAAGGUUCUUAUCGAUUUACGGGCACAAAGUCUGCAGCUACAACUCUUCCUGUUUUCUCCCCAUUUUAUGCCCCUAAGACCACUCUGAAGAGAAAACCAGUUGUUCUAAGGAUAUCAAAUGUGAUAGACUUGAAAGAAAUCGAUACAAAUAUUCAAGACCUUUUGUGUGAGAAGAUUGAUAAUGACUUAGAAGUUGUUGUAAGUGAAGCACUGGUUCAUGUUGUCUCCGAAGUCAGUAUGCAGGAAUAACUUGUGAUUCCUCAACCAAUGGUGAACUCAAGCAGCCUGGCAUCUAGUCUUGAGCCAGUUUUGGUUGAGGUAGAGAAAGCUCCAUCUGAUUCAAUGCACUCUAGAGAGCUAGGUUCUACAAUUGUGAUCAGUACCCCUUCCAAAACAAGCAGUACUCCACCUGCCCCUCAAGUUGCUCCUGCUUCUGAAGUGCCAAAACGUCCUAGGUCUCUAAUGUUAUCUCCUGCAAAGACAAUCGUCUCCUCCUCGGUAGAAAAGAAGUCUCGUGCUAUUAUCAGUUUCCCUCCUGGCACACUUGGUCUCACUCAUGGACGGAUAACAACUUGAUUAAGAAGGAAGCUGCUCUGCUGAAGCCAAAGAAGAAAACGGGGCGCCAUAUUGGCUCCAGGAACAGAAACAAAGCACCACCUCAGAAUUCUUCAGUUUUUGGAGAGGAGGUGUUGAGCAUGCUUAUGUCUGCAACUCCCCAAAGCCCUGAUCCUAAGGGCAAAGCUAAAGUGUAGUGGGUGUUUUUGGAGUUUGUUUUUAGAGAUCAGACUGUGGAAACUAGCUACAAGUAGAUGGUGCACAUUGUUUAGAGUACCGUAAUUGAGCGCCUUAGCUCCAGAGUGUGUGACCCUAGUGUCUUUUUGUACCUAGUUUUUUCUAUUCUCUACUGCUUAUAAUAAGUGAGCGUGUUUUAAAAUGUGAUGGUGCUAUAGAACCCCUUGCGGUUCAUGUAUGUUGUCAUUCUGACCUUCGAUCUUUCUUAAUGAAAUAAUUUCAGUUUGUCAAAAAAAAAUGUAUAUAUAUAUAAUGAAUGUAUGUAUCAAAUGUCUGACAUACCAAAAGAUCAAAACUUGUGAUAAUAAAGUUGUGGAAGCUUUAGUGAAAACUCUUAACUUAAAGACUUUUCGGUUUAUGGUUUAAAAUAC
RNAcentral lists this long non-coding RNA (2399 nucleotides) under Fragaria vesca (wild strawberry). Its description in RNAcentral is "long non-coding RNA (FVES_LNC002473)". The record is from RNAcentral. Lineage: Eukaryota; Viridiplantae; Streptophyta; Magnoliopsida; Rosales; Rosaceae.